AGCGAACGCUGGCGGCAGGCCUAACACAUGCAAGUCGAACGAACUCUUCGGAGUUAGUGGCGGACGGGUGAGUAACACGUGGGAACGUGCCUUUAGGUUCGGAAUAACUCAGGGAAACUUGUGCUAAUACCGAAUGUGCCCUUCGGGGGAAAGAUUUAUCGCCUUUAGAGCGGCCCGCGUCUGAUUAGCUAGUUGGUGAGGUAAAGGCUCACCAAGGCGACGAUCAGUAGCUGGUCUGAGAGGAUGAUCAGCCACAUUGGGACUGAGACACGGCCCAAACUCCUACGGGAGGCAGCAGUGGGGAAUCUUGCGCAAUGGGCGAAAGCCUGACGCAGCCAUGCCGCGUGAAUGAUGAAGGUCUUAGGAUUGUAAAAUUCUUUCGCCGGGGACGAUAAUGACGGUACCCGGAGAAGAAGCCCCGGCUAACUUCGUG
Molecule: ribosomal RNA, 433 nt
Filed under: uncultured bacterium
Lineage: Bacteria
Description: partial 16S ribosomal RNA
Rfam family: Bacterial small subunit ribosomal RNA
Source: RNAcentral